This 474-nucleotide ribosomal RNA is filed under the name uncultured bacterium. RNAcentral's name for it is "partial 16S ribosomal RNA". The stretch from base 18 to 334 matches the Rfam family "Bacterial small subunit ribosomal RNA", at positions 45 to 394 of the family's 1533-position model. The record is from RNAcentral.
AACGAACGCUGGCGGCAUGCCUAACACAUGCAAGUCGAACGAGACCUUCGGGUCUAGUGGCGCACGGGUGCGUAACGCGUGGGAACCUGCCCUUAGGUUCGAAAUAACUCCCCGAAAGGGGUGCUAAUACCGGAUAAUGUCUUCGGACCAAAGAUUUAUCGCCUUUGGUUGGGCCCGCGUUGGAUUAGCUAGUUGGUAGGGUAAAAGCCUACCAAGGCGACGAUCCAUAGCUGGUCUGAGAGGAUGAUCAGCCACACUGGGACUGAGACACGGCCCAGACUGAUGGGGGAGGUGGGAGUGGGAAAUAAGGCGGAACGGGGGAACGGACGAGCAAGAAGGGGGGAGUGGGGAGGGAGGGAAUGAGAGUUGUAGAGCGCUGCUGCCGGGGAAUAGGAUGACAGGACGUGGAGCCAAAGCCCCGGCAAACUGAGUGCCCGCAGCGGGUCUAAUAGUCGGACGGGAAGAGGCCUGAAC